This 253-nucleotide ribosomal RNA is filed under the name uncultured bacterium. RNAcentral describes it as "partial 16S ribosomal RNA". It matches the Rfam family "Bacterial small subunit ribosomal RNA", at positions 524 to 776 of the family's 1533-position model. The record is from RNAcentral.
GACAGAGGUGCCAAGCGUUAGGCGGAAUCACUGGGCUUAAAGCGUGUGUAGGCGGAUGUCUAAGUACCUUGUGAAAUCCCACGGCUCAACCGUGGAACUGCUUGGUAUACUGGAUGUCUUGAGCCAUCUAGGGGCUACCGGAACAAAUGGUGGAGCGGUGAAAUGCGUAGAUAUCGCUUGGAACGCCGAAGGUGAAAACAGGCUGCUGGGGUUGCGCCGACGCUGAGACACGAAAGCCAGGGGAGCAAACGGG